CCUACGGGAGGCAGCAGUAGGGAAUCUUGCGCAAUGGGCGAAAGCCUGACGCAGCCAUGCCGCGUGAAUGAUGAAGGUCUUAGGAUUGUAAAAUUCUUUCACCGGGGACGAUAAUGACGGUACCCGGAGAAGAAGCCCCGGCUAACUUCGUGCCAGCAGCCGCGGUAAUACGAAGGGGGCUAGCGUUGCUCGGAAUUACUGGGCGUAAAGGGAGCGUAGGCGGAUAGUUUAGUCAGAGGUGAAAGCCCAGGGCUCAACCUUGGAAUUGCCUUUGAUACUGGCUAUCUUGAGUAUGGAAGAGGUAUGUGGAACUCCGAGUGUAGAGGUGAAAUUCGUAGAUAUUCGGAAGAACACCAGUGGCGAAGGCGACAUACUGGUCCAUUACUGACGCUGAGGCUCGAAAGCGUGGGGAGCAAACAGGAUUAGAUACCCUGGUAGUCCACGCCGUAAACGAUGAGUGCUAGUUGUCGGCAUGCAUGCAUGUCGGUGACGCAGCUAACGCAUUAAGCACUCCGCCUGGGGAGUACGGUCGCAAGAUUAAAACUUAAAUGAAUUGACGGCUGAGACGNGCGAGACGACACGAGGAGAGG
This 590-nucleotide ribosomal RNA is filed under the name uncultured bacterium. RNAcentral describes it as "bacterial SSU rRNA". It matches the Rfam family "Bacterial small subunit ribosomal RNA", at positions 338 to 949 of the family's 1533-position model. The record is from RNAcentral.